CGAGCAAGUCGCUAUGGUGAAAUCGGUAGACACGCUGCUCUUAGGAAGCAGUGCUAGAGCAUCUCGGUUCGAUUCCGAGUGGCGGCAUGCCAUCUUCU
RNAcentral lists this transfer RNA (98 nucleotides) under Helianthus annuus (common sunflower). RNAcentral's name for it is "tRNA-Leu". The stretch from base 8 to 87 matches the Rfam family "tRNA". From Rfam's summary of the family: Transfer RNA (tRNA) molecules are approximately 80 nucleotides in length. Their secondary structure includes four short double-helical elements and three loops (D, anti-codon, and T loops). Lineage: Eukaryota; Viridiplantae; Streptophyta; Magnoliopsida; Asterales; Asteraceae. The record is from RNAcentral.